This 559-nucleotide ribosomal RNA is filed under the name Pedobacter sp. RNAcentral describes it as "bacterial SSU rRNA". It matches the Rfam family "Bacterial small subunit ribosomal RNA", at positions 124 to 681 of the family's 1533-position model. Lineage: Bacteria; Pseudomonadati; Bacteroidota; Sphingobacteriia; Sphingobacteriales; Sphingobacteriaceae. The record is from RNAcentral.
ACCUACCUUAAUCAGGGGGAUAGCCCGAAGAAAUUCGGAUUAACACCGCAUAAAAACACAGAAUAGCAUUAUUCAAUGUUCAAAUAUUUAUAGGAUUAAGAUGGGCAUGCGUGUCAUUAGCUAGUUGGCGGGGUAACGGCCCACCAAGGCGACGAUGACUAGGGGAUCUGAGAGGAUGACCCCCCACACUGGUACUGAGACACGGACCAGACUCCUACGGGAGGCAGCAGUAAGGAAUAUUGGUCAAUGGAGGCAACUCUGAACCAGCCAUGCCGCGUGCAGGAAGACGGCCCUAUGGGUUGUAAACUGCUUUUAUCCGGGAAUAAACCUUUCUACGUGUAGAGAGCUGAAUGUACCGGAAGAAUAAGGAUCGGCUAACUCCGUGCCAGCAGCCGCGGUAAUACGGAGGAUCCAAGCGUUAUCCGGAUUUAUUGGGUUUAAAGGGUGCGUAGGCGGCCUGUUAAGUCAGAGGUGAAAGACGGUAGCUCAACUAUCGCAGUGCCUUUGAUACUGACGGGCUUGAAUGAACUAGAGGUAGGCGGAAUGAGACAAGUAGCGG